AGCCAUGCAUGUCUAAGUACACAUUUUUAAUAAAAUGAAACUGCGAAUGGCUCAUUAAAUCAGCUACGGUUCCUUUGAUAAAACACAGUUACUUGGAUAACUGUGGUAAUUCUAGAGCUAAUACAUGCAACAAUGCCCUUUCUUUACGGGAAGGGUGCACUUAUUAGAUCAAAACCAACCGGCUUUCGGGUCGAAGUUUUGAUGACUCUGGAUAAUUGUUUCGAUCGCACGGCCUUAGUGUCGGCGACGUUUCUUUCAAAUGUCUGCCCUAUCACACUAUAGAUGGUAGGCAAAUUGUCUACCAUGGUUAUAACGGGUAACGGGGAAUCAGGGUUCGAUUCCGGAGAGGGAGCCUGAGAAACAGCUACCACAUCCAAGGAAGGCAGCAGGCGCGCAAAUUACCCACUCUCAAAACGAGGAGGUAGUGACAAAAAAUAACGAUGCGGGACUCAAUCGAGGCCCCGUAAUCGGAAUGAGUACACUUUAAAUCCUUUAACGAGGAUCAAUUGGAGGGCAAGUCUGGUGCCAGCAGCCGCGGUAAUUCCAGCUCCAAUAGCGUAUAUUAAAGUUGUUGCAGUUAAAAAGCUCGUAGUUGGAUCUAAGGAUUUGGACGGAUGGUACGCUUCAGGGCGUGACUGUCUGUCUGGCCUAUAUCAGUCGUGGAAGCCUUAAGUGCUCUUCAUUGAGUGCUUUUGGUGCCCGACGCCAUUACUUUGAGAAAAUUAGAGUGCUUAAAGCAGGCAUAAUGCUUGUAUACUGUUGCAUGGAAUAAUAAAAUAGGAGUUUGCUUCUAUUUUGUUGGUAUUCGGAAGUAAACUAAUGAUUAACGGGG
Molecule: ribosomal RNA, 832 nt
Filed under: Minona ileanae
Lineage: Eukaryota; Metazoa; Platyhelminthes; Proseriata; Monocelididae
Description: SSU rRNA
Rfam family: Eukaryotic small subunit ribosomal RNA
Source: RNAcentral